GGGUGUGGUGUGCUGGGUUCCUGUAUUUCAACAUCAGCUGUUGCUUCCCCGGGCAGAGAGGACAGAUGCGUUUCCUGCAUUCCCUAUCGGGUGCUCACAGUCUCACAUUGCCGGCGACUGUCACACUGCACUGCUGCCACAGCAUCAAACGCUCUUAAGUCAGGCAAGCUUUGUGGGAGAGGCACAGCGAUGGAGAACUUGAAUGUCCCAUUCCCAGAUCUUACUGAAGAACAGCAAGACAUUUUCCAGAGGGUUUUCCCUGCUGAUGCCGAUUACCUGGAGAAUCAUGAGAAAACGAACCGGUCCUUCUGGGAAUCACUUAUAAAAUGUUUAGCCACCACUGACCCACCUAUCCUGACGACUGAAGAAAAGAACAAUCUCCUCAACAGCUGCAGUGCCCUGCCUGGAGGCUGCGCAGCCUGCCUGAAAGCCAUAGAGAAGAAAGGAGUCAGGGCAAUGGCUGUGCUUUACCUCUUGCUGAAGACAACCAACCCAGCUGGAUACAGGCAGCUGCCCAGCUCCAAGGGAAAGGAUGAAAAAUUGAAACUCCUGAAGAGAUUGGAAAGGAAUCUCAUGCUUUCCCAAGGGGAAGAAGAGGAUGAAAAUUCAUCCCAUGAGUCCAUGGAUGAAGAUACACAAGGUAAAGAGGAUUUAUUUUAUUUUUCCCUGACACAUAACUUAGUCUGAUUGCAUGUUCUUAAGAGAUUCACAUAGGAGUCUUGCAGCAAUUCAGUA
This 735-nucleotide long non-coding RNA is filed under the name Calidris pygmaea (Spoon-billed sandpiper). RNAcentral describes it as "lncRNA (ENSCPGG00000019239.1)". The record is from RNAcentral. Lineage: Eukaryota; Metazoa; Chordata; Aves; Charadriiformes; Scolopacidae.